GCCAGUAUGAGGGAGUCUUUAAGGAGAGGUGGAACCAGGAAAUGGUGCCUAAGGAACUUUGAUUGAGGGCUGCUAAGGGUCUACAUUGCAGGUCUACAGAAUGGGUAAAAUAGCAACAAGUUUCCAGGCGGGCUGCCCCAUUCCUGGGGAUGGUGAGGGUGAGACUUGCACAGGAAAGGUCUGAAUUUGAUUGCCCCUGAAGUGAAUGGACAAUGAGCACUGUGUAAGAACAAAACAGGGGCGGGGUGGCUUGUAUUGCUUAAGAUAAGAGAGAGGCAUGGAGCUGUCCAGUGCUAGAGGCCUUGGGGAUGGAGGAAAGUCAGAAGCCAACAUGUGUGAGCCUAGCAAAAGGACCUUGAUAGAGGUCCCCCUGCCACAGGCCUCACUGAGUCUGCCUGUGCCUGUGUACAGGUUCCUAAACCCCUGUGCUGGAGAUCCCCGCGCUGGAUGAGUCCUAGAGAAAAAGACUCCCCACUGGGCACUCUCAAUGCUUGUAUACACUUUGUGGUUUAUUUGGUGGUCAGUAAUUAAUGGCUUUGCUACGAAGUGGAAGAAAGCUAAUAGAACGUAAUCAAAAUAGUGGUUUAA
RNAcentral lists this long non-coding RNA (588 nucleotides) under Rattus norvegicus (Norway rat). RNAcentral's name for it is "long non-coding RNA NONRATT006747". Lineage: Eukaryota; Metazoa; Chordata; Mammalia; Rodentia; Muridae. The record is from RNAcentral.